RNAcentral lists this ribosomal RNA (429 nucleotides) under Gemmatimonadota bacterium. Its description in RNAcentral is "Gemmatimonadetes bacterium partial 16S ribosomal RNA". It matches the Rfam family "Bacterial small subunit ribosomal RNA", at positions 355 to 776 of the family's 1533-position model. Lineage: Bacteria; Pseudomonadati; Gemmatimonadota. The record is from RNAcentral.
UAGGGAAUCUUCGGCAAUGGACGAAAGUCUGACCGAGCAACGCCGCGUGAGUGAAGAAGGUUUUCGGAUCGUAAAACUCUGUUGUUAGAGAAGAACAAGGACGUUAGUAACUGAACGUCCCCUGACGGUAUCUAACCAGAAAGCCACGGCUAACUACGUGCCAGCAGCCGCGGUAAUACGUAGGUGGCAAGCGUUGUCCGGAUUUAUUGGGCGUAAAGCGAGCGCAGGCGGUUUCUUAAGUCUGAUGUGAAAGCCCCCGGCUCAACCGGGGAGGGUCAUUGGAAACUGGGAGACUUGAGUGCAGAAGAGGAGAGUGGAAUUCCAUGUGUAGAGGUGAAAUGCGUAGAUAUAUGGAGGAACACAAGUGGCGAAGGCGGCUCUCUGGUCUGUAACUGACGCUGAGGCUCGAAAGCGUGGGGAGCAAACAGG